This is a long non-coding RNA of Poecilia latipinna (sailfin molly), 178 nucleotides long. RefSeq lists it as uncharacterized. The record is from RefSeq and is a predicted model, not a curated record. Lineage: Eukaryota; Metazoa; Chordata; Actinopteri; Cyprinodontiformes; Poeciliidae. The transcript has 4 exons.
AGGACAGACAUUAGAAGUUAUUUCGCUACGACGGCUGUGAGUACAGUGAGAGGACCCAUAAGUUAGAUAUCUAUCACGCAACGCAUUUGUUGUAAAGUCCGGUGUUUAGUAAGGUCAGCACUGAAUGGGUGGUAGAAUAGGUCUGUUAAUUAUGUGUCCUCUCACUGUACUGACAGCC